Phyllostomus discolor (pale spear-nosed bat) is the source of this 946-nucleotide long non-coding RNA. RefSeq lists it as uncharacterized. The transcript has 2 exons. The record is from RefSeq and is a predicted model, not a curated record. NCBI's taxonomy places the organism in Eukaryota, Metazoa, Chordata, Mammalia, Chiroptera, Phyllostomidae.
AGUGCCUGGGUCAGGGUCACAGGUCCCACUCAUGAUAAAGCUCAACCUGGACACAUGGCUCUCAGCUCCUAGUCCCAUCUUUCUCCUGAACCAUUUUCCUGAAAUACUGUCACACAUCACAGCCCAGAAGACUGGCUGAGGUCAUGCUCGAGGGUGAAGCCAGUAGAUGCCUUUGGUCUUAUCUGUAUUCCCCAAUCAGCUUGUCUUUCCAUAGGACCUAGAGAAAUGUGGGUGUGAGGGCUGUCCAGUUCUUUGACAGGGCAGAACCAGCUGUCUUUUUAAAAGAUGGACAUUUAAUGGCUAUUGCCUGGGCUAGAGUCAUAUAACUGAUGGUUAGUUUUUUAAGGUGAUCCAUCUCAGUUUUCUCAGCCUUACUGGUGCUUGAUUUGGAAAAACCACAGUGAGGGUACCCUUUUAUGGAAGACAGAUAAUAUAUGCCCCUUGCUAGUUUUUAGAAGUAGGAAGGGCCAUUGUAGGACUGGGGACUCCUCUGCUAUCCUGACUCAGUGGGGGAUGCCACCUUGCCUUAGCUGAUGGAAUGCUUUUUUCUCAGCUACCAUGGCCUUGCAAGGUGUCCAGGCAUUCUUCCUGUCUUGGGCAGGGGAGUUGGAAGCACAGUGAAUCUUACAAAUAUCUUGGGAUGUCACUGGAGGGUAUCCACAUGGAAUGGGUUAACUGGAAGGGGGCCUGGAGAGAGUCUCAAAGCAGAGAUGUAGUCACUUAAUCUGGACAAUUAAUGAGUGUUGAUUUGAUUGUGGAUGAUGCAUGACAACUCAGGGGUCAACUGUUUGGUGCUGGUUUGGCUUUCCUGCAUCUCCAAGAUACUGUUAGGAAAUCAGGGUUCUUAUCCUCUUUUGAAUUAUUAACCCCUUUGUUUGUCAAAGCCUGUAGAGCCCCUAAAAUAGUAUUGUUUUCAGUACUUUACUGAGGUAAAUUCACAUAUAGU